UGGGGAAUCUUGCACAAUGGGGGAAACCCCGAUGCAGCGACGCCGCGUGAACGAUGAAGCCCUUCGGGGUGUAAAGUUCUUUCGACAGGAACGAUAAUGACGGUACCUGGAGAAGAAGCUGCGGCUAACUACGUGCCAGCAGCCGCGGUAAUACGUAGGCAGCGAGCGUUGUUCGGAGUUACUGGGCGUAAAGAGUGCGUAGGCGGCGAGCCAAGUUUGGUGUGAAAUCUCCCGGCUUAACCGGGAGGGUGCGCCGAAAACUGGUUGGCUGGAGUAUGGGAGAGGAAAGCGGAAUUCCUGGUGUAGCGGUGAAAUGCGUAGAUAUCAGGAGGAACACCUGCGGUGUAGACAGCUUUCUGGACCAAAACUGACGCUGAGGCACGAAAGCGUGGGUAGCAAACG
Molecule: ribosomal RNA, 402 nt
Filed under: uncultured bacterium
Lineage: Bacteria
Description: bacterial SSU rRNA
Rfam family: Bacterial small subunit ribosomal RNA
Source: RNAcentral